GUCAAGUUUAAGGAGCUCCUUUAGCAGCUCGGACUUAGUGACUGCCUGCAGGGAGAAACUUUGUAGCUGGACAGGGGGAAAAAGGGAAAAGCAUUGGGGAUAGUUGCAUUAGAAGGGGUGAGAGAUGAGGAAAUGUUGGACGGACAAGGAGGCAUGGCUGAGUCAAAUAGGAAUCCUGACUUAAUGAAGUGGUGAUUAAAGAGCUCAGCCAUGUGCUUCUUGUCAGUAACAACAUCAUCAUCAACAUUAAGGGACAUGGGCAGCUGUGAGGAGGAGGGUUUAUUCUUCAGGUCUUUAACCAUUUCCCAAUACUUCUUGGGGUUAUACCCACAGAGAGAUUACUGCUCCUUAAAGUAAGAGCUUAGGGCAGGUAGGGUACAGGCCAGUGCUGAUGGAGGACGAUAGCAUCCAGCAACAGUCCACAAAGAGCUAUUUGAAAGUUUAAUGCUUAAAACCAGCAAAUCAAAUUGUUUGGGGACAGACUUGGUGGAGACAACUGAGCACUGAAGGUGAUCCUUGGUAAAAGAUUGCCACUCCCCCAUCUGUCUUGCCAAAAAAGUUUAUAACCAGAAAUGUUAACAUCAGUAUUCAAAACACUCUUCCUUAACCACGUCUCAGUAAUGACCAACACAUCUGGAUUGGAGCUGUGAACCCACACUUUCAAUUGAUCCAUUUUAGGACUCAGGGCUCCAGCAGGAGGGCUUGUGGAUAUCUGAUAUGCCAUUUGACUGGAGGCUUGCUGCAGUAUGCGGCACAGGGAGAAGAAAACAUGCAGAAAUGUACUCAUGUGGCAAGGUCUAGUAAAGAUUGGAAGGGUAAAAUGCCUCCUCUAAUAAUACUCUGUGCAGUUGGAUAAAAGAGAGCAUUCUAGAAAAUCCCACCGCUGCCACUAUUUCUCAUUCCACCUAACAGCGGACAGACAUAAUGGAAGCCAUUGCAGUUAUAAAAAUGCCCUUGAGAUAGAAACAGCACUUUUAUACUUAAUCUCUUACUGGAAUCCUAGUUUUCCUACUGUACUGUAUGACUGAGAGAGUUGGCUGCCAGCUAAACACAUUAUAUUCUGCUGAACCAGGCUCAGGUUUGUGUGAGUUGGGUCAGUUCCCUGCCAUAGUCCACACAUUAAGAUACUGAACCAGGGUCAGCCAGUCAUUGUGAAUGAGAUCACUGGUGGUGAUUGAAGUGAUGCAAGCCUGCCACUCAUGCUUGUUUGCAUUAGAGACUGAUACUGGGGUUGCAUGCCCAUUCCGGAGAUUCCAUGCUUGUCAUUCUGGGAAUGCCUGGGAAUCAAUGAGCCUCUGGAUUGGGACAAUGUCAUUGCACAGCACAGUACAUCAGGAUAUACAGUAUCAGAACAUACACACAGACAGAGAGAGAGGGCGAGGGAGAGAGAGUGAAGCAGAACAGUGGACGAGCAGUGCACAGAAACUCUUGACACAGGAAGCACACACAUUAACAGCCCACUAACAUAGACACCUUUGUUAAUCCCAUGAAUGUAACGACAAGCUUUGACGAAUCAAUCUUAAUGUUUUGAGACUGAGAAAUAAGGAUGGAUGAAAGAUAAAAAGAUGGGUAACUGGAGCAGGAGGUCAGAACUAUUGCUUGUUGUCUAUCUGGGCCAGGCCGGGAGAGACCAGGGAACACCCAUGACAUGAAAGCAGCAGCAGCUUCAAGUCUAUCCUUGUUCUCUGUCUUGUGGGCGGUGCUACUAGCAACCAGCAUGGGGGAUGGAUCAUUUGCCAAGCAGAUGCCAGGGAGACUUGUAUUUUGUGUUAAUCCUUCUUGGGUAGUCAAAGGCUUUUAGAAAAAAAAACAGUGAUCCUUUCAUUGUUUUCUACAAAGUCAUGAAGAGUUCUCAUUUUUGAAGCACACAGAUCUUUGUUAGAUUGAAGUUGUUGUUGAUAGUCAGCAAACAAGCAUGAUGAUCAUGAAGCGUUUCAUUGGCUGUGUCAACUAUAUUUACGUUCUUCUUAUGGUUUUACCUUCAUGACUGGAUGUUAUUGUCUAAUUAUACAUGACUACUGCAAUGCUAGGUUUGGGGGCAGAUGUAAUAAAAUAUUACACAGCCUCAUGCCAUCAUAAGGGUUACCUCGUAAACUUUAGUGGCCUCAUUUCCUAUUCACAAUGCCACGGUGUUAUUUGGUAUGUUGAGAAUGUUUGUAAACUAGGUGUUGGCAUGACGUGAGAAUUCACUGCGCUGUGUAGCCUGGUACAGUUUGGACUGUUCAUGCCACACUGCACAGACAAGGCACAGACCUGACGGACAAGAUCACCCUGUUGAGAGGGCAUACGGGUUCCUUCUCUCUAUAACAACAAAACAAGCAGGUUGCAUCACUCAGCUGGGUGCUAUUGGUGGAGGUGUGCGAGGUAGGUUAAACACACAGUGUGAAGUGCUAUGGAAUGUUUUUGUCUGAAAGGUGAUUAAGUACAUAUUUGAACAAGGAUGUAGAUCAUCAGUCACAUAAGAAAAAAAGAUUUGGUGACAUCCAUUGCUGUAACAUUGAAAAUAAGUUAUCAAUCUGUUUUUGGCCACUGUGCCCAUCUGGUCCAAAAUAAAUGCCCCAGGGAAGUGAUUGGGGACAUUGCUCUGUGAAGUGACGUCUUUUGGAAGGGACGUUAAAUGGCUGUCCUGACUCUCUUUGGUCACUAAAGAUCCCAUGGCACUUAUCAUAAGAGUAGGGGUGUUAACCACGGUGUCCUGGCUAAAUUCCCAAUCUGGCCCUCAUACCAUCAUGGUCACCUAAUUAUCACCAGCUUCCAAUUGGCUCAUUCAUCCCACCUCCUCUCUCCUAUAACUAUUUCCCAGGUCAUCGCUGUAAAUGAGAAUGUGUUCUCAGUUAACUUACCUGGUAAAAUAGGGGUUAAAUAAAACAUUUAAUAAAUGAAAGACAAUUGCUAACUCUCCAAGACUGUGUGUUGGGUAAAAAUCUGUGUGAUAGUUGACUAGGAGCCCUAGUCCCUCAGCCCAAUCUCUAUUUAAAAAAAGAUAAGGAUUGUCACACACACGCACACACACACAACACAACACACACACUUCUGACAACACAAUGCAGUCUACAAUCUCACCUAAAUGGUAUUUCACAACUUUGAUGAUACCAUUGUUUUCUUAAAGGAACCCUACAAACUAUGUUACUAUUGUUUGUUUUCUCCUCCCCAUGUUGACUCACCACAAAUACCACCUGGUUCAUUCUUCUCUUCCAGAAAACCUGCAUUUCUGUCAUUCCUGUGUAUCCACAGCUGCUCCCUGCAAGUUUCGACUUUUAAUGGCACGUGCACAAGUACAGUGAAAUGCCCUUCUUGCAAGCUCCAAACCCAACAAUGCAGUGAUCAAUAUCAAGGUAGCACUAAAAAUAACACAAGGUAGAACAAAAACACAAGAGAUGAAAAUAAGAAGAACAUGAGAAAGAAGCUACAGGGCCUUCAGAAAGUAUUCAAACCUCUUGACUUCUUCCACAUUUUGUUGUGUUACAACCUGAACCCCAUAAUGUCAAAGUGGGAUUGUGUUUUUAGAAAUGUUAAUAAAAUGAAUUAAAAA
Long non-coding RNA from Oncorhynchus tshawytscha (Chinook salmon), 3532 nucleotides. The record is from Ensembl. NCBI's taxonomy places the organism in Eukaryota, Metazoa, Chordata, Actinopteri, Salmoniformes, Salmonidae.